RNAcentral lists this long non-coding RNA (2747 nucleotides) under Malus domestica (apple). RNAcentral describes it as "long non-coding RNA (MDOM_LNC017863)". Lineage: Eukaryota; Viridiplantae; Streptophyta; Magnoliopsida; Rosales; Rosaceae. The record is from RNAcentral.
GACAAAUGGUUUUAAAGGCUGUAAAUUGAAGCUGCAAAAAACAAAGAGCAUCACAUGCUGAAAACAAAAAGAAAACCAAAUUGUAAGCGUAGACAGAGCAGGCAAAACAUAAAAGAAACCAAAAUUUGAAAAAUUGUUCCAUGCGGACACCAAAUGUUUCAAAAGGUUAUCAAAACGGAACAAAAUUGGUUAAUUUGUUAUGUAAGCAAAGCAAAGAAAGGAGUUGGAUUGAAGCUGAUUUAAGGCUUUUUCUGACUUGGCCAACCUAUGUGGCUAGGGCUUCAAACACUAAAACCCUGUACAAUGCACAUAAAAGUAACCACCGCCGGGUAAGCAAACAUGAGUUACUUUCAUCAAAAAUUAAAACUAAAAACAUAAACUUCUGUUGAUCCUAAAAACUACCAAACUUACGUGGCGCGCAGGCCGAGUAAUCUAUAAGCUAACUACGUCCUUCAGUGAAUGCGGGGCGUGCCAACUCGUCGGCCGAGCUCGGCCGAGGAGUAAAAUUUGUUGAUGUUGCGUUGGGUGCGCGGCUGACUUCUGCGUCUUGCGAUUGCGACCGAGGAAGGAACACGUCUCGGCCUCGUGGGUUCUCGAACCUGAAGACAAUGCUACUAUUCUUACGAAGUUCACGAAUCACCGUCGUCGGAUUCGGUCACAGUGAUGUUAUUCGUCAGAGUAAACUCAUGCCGAAUCGACACCAAAGUGUAAGGGCACAAAUACUCAAAGCGAAUAUAAGUCUUAAUAGUGAACGUGGUUCGACCGUCUGAAUGCCGAACUCUAAAUCCCACUUGAGAGUAUCCAAUCAUAAAAUAACUCGGCGUGCAAUGCGUCGAGAAUGCGUCGAGCUCAGUAAGCUGUAACACCUCACUUCGCCGAGAAGGCUAAUGAGAUGACCUCGAUCAAUAAGGAUUCGGAAAUCCUUCUCGACCGAGACUUGGAUAGGUAACCAACCGCCCUCGCCGCAGUGCUGUUGAUGCCAACGGAAGAUGCUGCGAGAUCGGCUGAUUCUACGGCGACAGAGCUAUCCAUGCUGACUUAAGAUAUCACUGGUUGCUUUCACAGUGUUGUUAAUGCCAACGGAAGAUGUGUCAGCGAAAAGAGAAAAUAAAAAUCUCAAAGUUGUUGAGAAAGUUUGCGCAGGGCAGUUGUGUGUUGAAUUGGAGGGGCUUUUUCUGUCGUAUAGCAUCUUGUAUUUAUAGCAUUUUGUACUUGCUUGGCACGGCUGGAUAACUGUGUAAAGUCCGACUGCAACUCUGACUCUGUAAAAUUGAUCCGUGUGAAAUGCCAAAGCCUAUCCUCUAGCUUUUGUGACUUUUCAAACCCUAUAAAAGCCUAUCCAAAUAAAAGUCUUCUUAUCAUCAUAGCCUAGCUUACCUAGACUCAUUGUCUUAUCCAUCAUGUAUAUUUCCCCUGACAAAGACCACAUGCAUGCAUGAUGAUCCCUUCAUCAGCUUAAACUCUAAAAAACAAUUGAUGAAAUUCAUCAUCAUAUCUCAAGACAAGGCUACGUGCUUCAACCCUGUCCAUGAAUCCAAAGUCCAUUUGAAUUGUACCAUCCACAUCGAACAUAUCACAUAUUAAGUUUAAAUAUCCUAGUUAUUAUUAAGAGAUAAUAUUAUGAUUAAAAUCACAAUAUCAUUCCUCAAUACUAAGAAUCGUUUUAAUCACUUUAUCAUCCACCGGCCUAAAAUCCUGCUCAUUCAAGGGUCUCGAUUGCACGGGCCGAUGGUGUAAAAUCGGGUCCAAACAACUUCAAACAAGCAAAAUCUGACAACUAGCAUAUCAAUCCAAAAUAAAAACUUCCACCACCAACAGCAUAAACAAAUUUAAAACCACAAUUAAAACUAAUGUUGACUGUCAUCCUCUCCAUGUUUGUGUUCCCUCUGCCGGAUAAAAGCGACGAAGACAAAGCUUUCCAAAAUUCUAAUAACUCUACAUAUUAUCAAUUUCCCAACAAAACACAUAGGUUCCAGCACUAAUAGCAUAAAAAGUUUUAAAAUUCUUCCUCUCCCUGUUCUUAAGACAGAAAGACAAAGCUUUCCAAAAUUCCAACGAAUCCUCUCAUUUCUUCCCAAAAAUUAUAAGUCCAUUUUAAUCCUACAAUUAUUAAUGCAUUUCGAAACUGGAAAAAAGCAGGACAUAAAACUUACCCAGAAUAUAAGAGCAGCGUCACAGGUGCUAGCAAAUGUCAGAUUUAUUAACAGAGCAACCAAAUGCAAAAUGCUCUUUUAGCCGGGAAAUGCCUAAUAGAGCACCACAACUGAAAGAACAAUGAAAUCGUUAGGUUUUUUUUUCCAAAUAAGCAAAAAUCCAAAAUAAAAAUUGAAAGACAACCAUUAUAAAAUACACCUUAGCUGAAUAACAUCUGUUCCGCAGCGAUCUGAUGACGGGCCGCGACCAAAACGGGUUGGAAAUCGGCCAAAGUUCAGCCACAACCCAAAAAUCUCAGACAGAAAAAAAAAGAAUAACACUCUGAAUUAUUGACCCCCCGAUCGCAACUUUGGAAACCUUGGAAACCACUUUUUUGUGGGGAAGAAGACUCUCGAAGUCGAGAGAAUAAGGAUGGCGGACACGCGGACAACAUGGGUAAAAACGUCUUUUCGGCGUACGAAGCAGGCCAAACAAAGGAAAACAAAUGAUUGACCCAGGGGCAGUUCCGCCCUUUCACUAUUUCUGAACAGUGCCGGUUUCAACUGAGUUUUAGUAUAUAUAAUUUUGGAGGGGGUUGAUCCUAUGUCCCAUCC